Paramuricea clavata is the source of this 80-nucleotide non-coding RNA. Lineage: Eukaryota; Metazoa; Cnidaria; Anthozoa; Malacalcyonacea; Plexauridae. The record is from the annotation of a GenBank genome assembly.
GACCGCGUAGCUCAGUUGGCAGAGCAUUGCCAUUUGGGCCAGUAUUCCAAAGGUCGUAGGUUCGAUUCCCACCGUGGACA